UUAUUUCAUCAAGUACAUAAACUAUUUUAUCAAACAAAAUUUAACCAAGAGGAUCAGAUUGAACAACGAUUCCUUAAAUUGAGAAGACGGUAAUAGAUUUGCAGAUGAAAAUAUAGAGAGUCAUACAUGACAAAAAAAUGAAUAUGAAGAAGAGAGUCACAUACCGACAGGGAGGUGAAAGUUGAAAAAAAUAGGUGAAAGUUAAAGAAAAUAGGUGAAAGUCGCAAUGGGUUGCAGCAACUUCGGCGAGAUGAAAAAAGAAAAAAAAAAAUGAAGACGUGUACAUGGUAGGUUGAAGGUAUGAAAAAAAGUAUGGAAAAAAAUUUGGAUAUAAAGUACAACUUUUAAAAAGAUUGUUGAAUGAUUAUUUUAGAAGAAAGAGUGGAUGUGUUCCCGGCGAGAUGAAUGAUUAUUGAAAAAAGAUUAGAUGUGUUUCCGGUGAGAUGAAUGAUACAAAACGUAAAUGGGUUUCCCCACGAGUUGAAAAAAAAGGGAAGAGGUGUAUGAAGAAAAAUGGGUGGAGGUGAGAGUACGUGACAAGUGAGGUAUGGAAGGAAAAGGUACUUGACAAGUGAAGUAUAAAUUAGUUGAUAGAGUAGAUGUAGGUAGAGAGAAAAGUCAUAGCUAGGUGUGGAAAGAAUCUUUAUUUCAUGGAGAUGUGUGUACAAACUAAAUAAAAAUAAUAAUAAAAGGAUAGACGGCUGAGAUGUGAAAUGGAAAGAUCGAACGACUCAGAUAGGGUGAGUGUUUUUGAGUUUACCCUAUGAUGAUCCUAUGUGAUAAUUCCUGUAUUAAAAUAAUAAAAUUUAAUUAUUAUCAAAAAAUAAUAGUAUUGUGUCGACACCAAUUUUAUGUCGUGUUUGUGUCAAUAAAAAAAUUAAUUAUGUCAAUCGUGUUCGUGUCGUAUCACACGAAUUAUCAGACCUAUAUUACACUGUUUAGGAGUAAAAAAAUUGGACAUGAUGUGCAUCCAAAUGUCCAAUAUUAUUGUUUACAUUUUAAUUUCCAUAUGACCAGAAUUAAUUAUUAAGCAAGUAAAAUAAAGUAGGUGGAUUCGAAAUUGAAUAAAUUAGUUAAUCCUUCUGCAGUUGGUUCUGAUCUCCCCUUUCGUUCCACGUGAAGGGUGGAUGUUGGACAUCUUUGUCAUGGCAGUCGCGAAAUCAUGGAAGAAGGCCGAUUGAUUGGU
This 1186-nucleotide long non-coding RNA is filed under the name Zostera marina. RNAcentral describes it as "long non-coding RNA (ZMAR_LNC000594)". Lineage: Eukaryota; Viridiplantae; Streptophyta; Magnoliopsida; Alismatales; Zosteraceae. The record is from RNAcentral.